GAUGCUGAGUUUUCCGACAUUAGAUUAAAUUUUCCCGUCACAUAGAAAGUCCCAUCAAUUCAACAAAGGCAGGCAGAGCCCAUACCCCUUAUAACUAAUGUUUUUGAACUUUGCGCAAGAAGAUCUUGAAUAUAAUUCAUAUUGUAUCGAUCGCACCGCUCAAGAGGAGUGAAGAUGAGGUUGAAUUCUAGGGUUAGGGUUAGGGUUUGUUUUCCCAUCACAAGAGAAAAUCAAUUGAAGUAUUAUGACAAACCACUCGUUACUCAGAGAACUGAAAAUAUUUCUGCUACAAGGCGACUCCGAAAGGAUUUUGAACAAUGUCUCUGCCUCUGCGGUAACACAUAAGAGUACUGUUGAACACAUCAAAAGAUUGUAGAAGCAGUUUAAUGAUUAAUGUUAUCAGAUUUCUACAUUCAUGCCUAUAUACACUUGUUAUUUCUCGAUUUAAUUGUGUAUGAGAUUUUUAUCAAAUUCACAAUCAAAUCGAUAAAUAGUAAGUUAAUGUAGCAGGCUGAUGAUUUUCGCAUUAAGCGAUGGCAAGUUUAUUUCCUUGGCUGAACUUAAUUAAGUGAUAGAUUCAUUUGCUCCCAGAACCGAACACAGAAAGGGCUAAUAUUUCGACAUUCUUUUGGUGAUAUGGAGAAUUUCAGAGCAGAAACUCUAAAAGGGCUUCGCUGGCAUAGCGCACCAGAAAGAGUGACAGGUUGCCUUAGCUUAUGAAGAAGUUGGCCUAGGCACUCCUUACGUUGUGAAGAUAAUAUCGUCAGCUGCUGAAUCGAAUUUCGAAUGUUGUGGGGUGAAGAAAAUUGUGUUGUAUCUUGCACGUUCGUUCACCUGCUGAAGAAAUUUUUUCCAUGUACCUGCUGUAUUCCCCGUCUUCAGUUACUAGAAUUUUGAAGUCUGGUUUAACGCAUGAAGGGAAAUGCAAGGUCUGUUCUCAAUGACCCCUUUGGGGUAUAUGCCUGUAGACCCCUUCUACCCAGAGGAGAAUAUAGAAUGGAUUGAUGUCUCAUCCAAGUUAACUGGACGGCUUUUACUAAAUUAAGAUUUGUGAUAAAUCAAAUUUCAAUUUCAGUUUUAGAUGCAUCUCAUGGCAUGACAUUUUAUCACCUCGCUUUUGCAACAUGGUUUGAUUAUUAAUUCUGCAUUUCCUACGGAUGAUUCUGCAACACGAUCUU
Long non-coding RNA from Cryptomeria japonica (Japanese cedar), 1178 nucleotides. RefSeq lists it as uncharacterized. Lineage: Eukaryota; Viridiplantae; Streptophyta; Pinopsida; Cupressales; Cupressaceae. The record is from RefSeq and is a predicted model, not a curated record. The transcript is spliced from 3 exons.